Long non-coding RNA from Papaver somniferum (opium poppy), 590 nucleotides. RefSeq lists it as uncharacterized. The transcript is spliced from 4 exons. The record is from RefSeq and is a predicted model, not a curated record. Lineage: Eukaryota; Viridiplantae; Streptophyta; Magnoliopsida; Ranunculales; Papaveraceae.
GAGAUCUAUCUAGGUUUUUAAUCCUAGCCGUUGAGAUCUAUAUAGGAUGUCGAGAACAAAAGAAAAUGAAGAAGCAUUCUUCAGUUCUUUCUUCUUCGUCUCUUCUUCUCACUCAGCGGCAGCAUCAGUUUCUCGAUUCUCUUAGGGUUUGAAUCGAGAUUGAAUAUCAGUAAUAUCAGUGGAUCACCAUCUCUAUCAGGAUUCAGAUAUUGAGAAGAUUAGUCCAAAGGCCAAAGCAGAGAAGAAGGAAGAAUUAGAUUUUUGGGGUUCUCAAGUACUGCACAAUGGCUUGUGGCUGAACCGCUGAACGCUUAAGGAUCGUGAUUUGUUUCAGGGCAGCAGGUGUUACAAAAUACCCAUUAAAGACUUAAAGUACUUCAGAAUGACCACAUCAACUGCAACUCCAACUACAAAUGCAACUGCAACUCCAACUACAAGUACAACUCAACAAACAGAAGUUGGAUCAUCCUCUCAAGCUGCAUCUCACACAAAUGAAUCUGAAACUGCAACUCCAACAAGUAAAGGCAGAGCUGAAGCAGUUGAAGUUGGUGAUAGCAAAAAGAAGCACGGCAGAGUGAGAUCAUCUGUUU